GAUGAACGCUAGCGGCAGGCCUAAUGCAUGCAAGUCGAGGGGUAGAGAAGAGCCUGCUUUUCUUGAGACCGGCGCACGGGUGCGUAACGCGUAUGCAACCUACCUUUAUCAUGGGGAUAGCCUCUCGAAAGAGAGAUUAACCCCGCAUAAAAACACAAGAUGGCAUCGUACAAUGUUCAAAUAUUUAUAGGAUAAAGCUGGGCAUGCGGGACAUUAGCUAGUUGGUGAGGUAAGGGCUCACCAAGGCGACGAUGUCUAGGGGAUCUGAGAGGAUGACCCCCCACACUGGUACUGAGACACGGACCAGACUCCUACGGGAGGCAGCAGUAAGGAAUAUUGGUCAAUGGGGGCAACCCUGAACCAGCCAUGCCGCGUGCAGGAAGACGGCCCUACGGGUUGUAAACUGCUUUUAUACGGGAAUAAACCCCUUUACGUGUAAAGGGUUGAAUGUACUGUAAGAAUAAGGAUCGGCUAACUCCGUGCCAGCCGCCGCAGUAA
RNAcentral lists this ribosomal RNA (498 nucleotides) under uncultured bacterium. RNAcentral's name for it is "partial 16S ribosomal RNA". It matches the Rfam family "Bacterial small subunit ribosomal RNA", at positions 28 to 523 of the family's 1533-position model. The record is from RNAcentral.